Molecule: long non-coding RNA, 208 nt
Filed under: Elaeis guineensis (African oil palm)
Lineage: Eukaryota; Viridiplantae; Streptophyta; Magnoliopsida; Arecales; Arecaceae
Description: long non-coding RNA (EGUI_LNC061762)
Source: RNAcentral
GCUGUGAUGAAGUUCUUAGAACUAUAUUAGUAUACGAUAAAGAGAAAAUUUAUCAUAUAGUUCUUAAACAUAUUCGUGAUCAAAUGAUGCAUCAUUACAAGACGAUGAUGUUUAUCGAGUAGAGAUCGUUGUGUGCCAUAUGGGUUAGUUAUCCUCUUAAUCAAAGAGUAUGGUGACACUGAUAUGAUAUAUAGAUGAGAUGUAAGAG